UUUUUUUCUGAAUCAAGUUGUACCUACCAUCUUCGCAGUUACUCCCACUGGUCGAUAUUCAAUAUAAAAAACAAUUGAUGCUAGAUAUAUUGAAACAACUAAACACACUUGAUGAAGGACUUAGUCAGAGACACGAUUCUAAGAUGAAAUUGUGAUUAUCAUCUCUACAAAGCAUUAAAAACACACACACCCAAAAGCUUAAAAUAAAUGUUAAAAAGCACUCUUGAAACUCUCAACCGUUAUGUUGUUGAACCUGAAGUUACUGUCUGGACUCAGCUCCACGUAGUGUACCAAUCCAAGCAGGUGGCUGCAUCCCGGUCUGCUCAUAAACCGUAUCAAGAACCGGUGGCAACAUCUUGUAGAGUCCAGCAAUUUCCUUCAUACCACCACUACCCAUCCCCUGAUCAACACCAGCACCACCACCUUGGUUCCACACACUGAUCUUAGGCUGCAAGUCCCUGAUGGCCAAAGCAUUGGUCUUGGCGAUAUCCUGAUAAACCCCAUUGUUGAUCAUCAAAAAGUCCCUCAUCGCCGAGUAGUCAUUGUCAACCGCGUCCAGGAGAGUCUUGAUGUAAGUCCCUUGAGCAGUGGCCAUGGCCACAAGCCCAUCCGCAUCUCUCUGUUUAGCAUAGAAGGAAGCAUCAGCUGCAGCUUUAGUAGCCUCCGCUUGCUUCUGCUUCUCGUAAAGAACAGCUUCUGCCUUCUUCUGCUUGUCAGGAUCAGUUCUGUGCCAUUAAUAUAGGCUAUCGAAUAUAACUUUGUAGUAAUUUGGUUACACAAUGUUUGUUCUAUAUAGUUGAUCAUGUGUUUAUAUUCAUUAAGUUACAUGCAUACACUUGAAUUUCCCAUCUUAACAUUCAUUUUUUCUUGAUGUGGGUGUAUAUGAUCUAGAUGAUUGAUAGUGUCUUCAAACCGUUAGGUAGGUGUAUGUAAUUUAGUUAGGUUGUGGAAUCUAGCUUUGUAACUUUAUAUGGUUAGAUGUUGGGUCACACAUUGUUUGUUCUACUUUACCUUUUUCAAAAUUGCAGACUUUUUCUUUUAGAUUUUGACUGAGUUGUGUCUAUGUGAAUUGGAUGAUUGUGUAUUUUGGAUUAUAGCUGUGUGUGUUCAUUUGAUGUGCGCCUUACCUUCUUGGGUUGAUUAUCUAACUUUGUAAGCAUUAUAUGGCUUCUUCUAGCAAUUGGGUGAAUGUGGUCCCUCGGUGUUUGGUCUAAGUUAAGUUGCUAGCUGCUAUUUAUAUAUACACAUGAUAUUAACACCCCCACCAAACUUCAUAGAGUAGAUUUUGUGUUUAUAUUAGAUCUGGAGCAUGAUUGGGUAUGGUUGAGGGGGUUUACAUGGUUAUAGAAUCACAUCAAAGAAAUAACUAUAUAGUUCUUGUAAUGGUUUCUUUUAAUCAAAGUAAAGCAUAAUCCUUUACAAGAAAAAUGUGUGGCUUAUAAACUUUUGUGACCUACCACGUGAACUGCACAGACGAGGAGAGGAAUCUUCAGCUGCUUCAACUGCUGCGUUAAAGCUUGAAGGUUUUUUUUUAUAAUAGAGACGACGAUGAGAUGAAUCUUCAGCUGUUUCGAUUAUUUAUAAUAAUGAAGUGUAAUGGUAGAGUGAAACCAUUACACUUAUAUUUUUCUGCGGAAGCAGUAAAGUAUUAAUCAAGUUUGUCUGCCGUUUACUGUUAUCUUCCAGUGUCUAACUAUGUUUUUGGUAUUAAUUUGAAGUGUAGUUUAACUUUCCCAGAGAUUGAUGUUUUCAGUAUUGUGUAAUGCAGAGUAGAUUCUUUUGUACUUACUUUGAAUUGCGUUUGCCAUCUCUAACUAUCUAAGUAUCUGAUAAUCAAAACACAUAAGAUACGUUUACUACAAUCAUCCUCGUAAAGUCUUAAACUACCUUAACUAAGCUUAUUGGAGGCUAUAGUGUAAAUAGAGAAGUCACACUAAGAAAGAUGUACAUGUCCUCGUCUAUUUCUGAUGAAAACGAUUAUGAACAGUGAACAUUGAAAUUGAAUCAACAAAGUUGAUAUGGCCGAGUUGGUCUAAGGCGCCAGAUUAAGGUUCUGGUCCGAAAGGGCGUGGGUUCAAAUCCCACUGUCAACAGUUUUUUUUUUUUUUUCAUUACUCGUUAAAACAGAUCUUAUUAGUUACUACUGAUUCCACUUAUAAGGCUAUAACCCGUCGAUCUAAACCUCUCCUUUUGUUACUGGUCCAAAGUCAUCAAAGUAAAAUACAAAGCUUUACGGACAAGAUCUUAUCACAGGUUUUUGAAGAGAUACAGACUAUAACAAACUUGCUUUGAAGAUCGUGUGGCUGAAAGAACGAAACAAGAUAAGAUAAUGCUUUUUAGAUUCCCAGAGUUUGCAUUCGUUAGAACCCAUCAACUAUGAUCAGUGGGGGAAAAGUCGAAAACAAAAACGAAGUAAUUAAGUAAAAAGAGGUUAUUUUCGGAAUAACCGGUAGGCGGUUGUUUUGUGUUACGUUUUCUCCUCCCACAUCGGUUAGCUAGAAAAAGUUAGAUCUUCUAGCAAGUAUAAAUAAGAGGCCGUGUCACAUCGUUCAAUUUAUACCUUUCUCGGCCUUUUGGCUAAGAUCAAGUGUAGUAUCUGUUCUUAUCAGUUUAAUAUUUGAUAUAUGGGUCAUCGGCCCAUACGAUGUUAACUAUAUUUUUUCAGGGGGGAAGCCCAUCAAGAUAGCUUGCUAUCUGGGCUUUCGGGAGUUGCCCUUGCGUUGCACUACUGCACGGGCCUGGCUCAACCCAUCAAUCAAAUAGUCCAAUUUUUUUGUGUUUACUCCGAAAAGCACUGGUUCGUAUUUAGUUACAUGCCUGUUAGGGGUAAUAGGGCAUGUUUUGUUCUAAGGAAUACUGGUCACGGGUUGGCUAUGUUUGUAACUCGAAAAAGAGUAAUUGGGCCUUUAGUGAUAGCCCUAUAAGUUGGACGACGAGAGCAGAUCCUAUAUCAUUCAAAGCCCAUCACAUUGUAUAUAUUGACUUGUUUUCCUAUUAUGUUCAAAGUCUUGAAAUUUAGAUUUUUUUAUUGUUUUUACUUUUUACUAAUUUAAGUAUUUAUCAAAUUGUACGAUUUGAAAAUGGUCAAUUAUAUACUAUCAACGUGUUUAACAUAUAAGUAAAAUAAAUUGUUAUUAAUCUAUUUCAACCACUGGUAACUUUUGUACUUACUAAGUUAAAAUUAUUGUUAGGUUAAUGUUUAUACUUUAUACUGUGCAAUUUUUUCGACAUUGGUUAAUUUAAAAAUGUUUUUAAAUUCAGUGGAACCUAUCGUCUUGAAAAUUUUACCCACUGCUCUUGAAUGACAACUACGAUAAUUAAUGCUAUUUUGCUAAAAAGAGGAUAUUGCAGUUAAGGGAGUGGAGGACCACUCUUUAGAAAUGUUCCGACUGAGGAAAGCUAAUCGGAGGGUGGUCCGUGGUCCCUCGAUGCAUUUCAAAUUAGUGAUCAUCGGGCCAUCGCAAUAAAGUUUGUAUGCUUUGGACCAUUGUCUUGAUGGAUAAUCAAGAGAGAUGAAAGGUAAUAUCAUCACACAUCACACAAUACUCUGAUACAAGCCUUUUUUUUCCCUUAAAAGUCAAUGAAAAUUUCACAUUCUUUUCGAAAGCUCUUUCCAAGUCAGAUUUGGCAGAUGCUAUUGUGUGUAUAAUACAAUGCUAGACUUUUAAUGUUCUCAAAGCGUUAAAAAAUAAAAACUCCAGUUUUUGUUUGUUGGUCUUUAAUAAUUAGUCACUUAGUUUAGCGAAUUGAUCGUGACCUGUGAGUCUUGGUCAAAUAAAUAUCCCUCUUGUAAAUAACCAUUGACAACAAAAAAAGCUUAAACCAUAGCUGCUACCACUAUUUUUUCAAGUAGUUUGAUAAUGAUGCAAUCAUGUAAUGUAUAAUAUUCAUGAGGGUCUAGAUCAUAAUAAUAUGCCCGAGGGUCUAGAUCAUGAUUUAUUACAAUUUGCAGAGACCAAAUUACAAUUUGCAUAGUCAAAGCCUAUAUAUAUAUAUAUAUAUAUGUAUGUAUAUGUAUGUAUCAUUAUUUUUCAAAGUAAAACAUGUCUGCCGUAGUUGUGUAACAUAGUCAAGCUUUUUAAAUAGUUUUUUUUAUCUGAAUCAGUUGUACCUACAAUCUUCGCAGUUACACCCACUGGUCGAUAUUCAAUUAAAAAAACAAUUGAUGCUGGAUAUAUUGAAAUAAUUAAACACACUUGAUGAAAGACUUAGUCAUAGACACGAUUCUAAGAUGAAAUUGUGAUUAUCAUCUCUACAAAGCAUUAAAAAAACACACCCAAAAGCUUAAAAUAAAUGUUAAAAAGCACUCUUGAAACUCUCAACCGUUAUGUUGUUGAACCCGAAGUUACUGUCUGGACUCAGCACCACGUAGUGUACCAAUCCAAGCAGGUGGCUGCAUCCCGGUCUGCUCAUAAACCGUAUCAAGAACCGGUGGCAACAUCUUGUAGAGUCCAGCAAUUUCCUUCAUACCACCACUACCCAUCCCCUGAUCAACACCAGCACCACCACCUUGG
Molecule: long non-coding RNA, 4514 nt
Filed under: Brassica napus (rape)
Lineage: Eukaryota; Viridiplantae; Streptophyta; Magnoliopsida; Brassicales; Brassicaceae
Description: long non-coding RNA (BNAP_LNC025265)
Rfam family: U2 spliceosomal RNA (bases 2557-2752)
Source: RNAcentral